This 445-nucleotide ribosomal RNA is filed under the name uncultured bacterium. RNAcentral's name for it is "partial 16S ribosomal RNA". It matches the Rfam family "Bacterial small subunit ribosomal RNA", at positions 354 to 796 of the family's 1533-position model. The record is from RNAcentral.
GUGAGGAAUAUUGGUCAAUGGGCGGAAGCCUGAACCAGCCAAGUCGCGUGAAGGAAGAAGGAUCUAUGGUUUGUAAACUUCUUUUGAAGGGGGAUAAAGUGCGUCACGAGUGGUGCAUUGCAGGUACCCUUGGAAUAAGCAUCGGCUAACUCCGUGCCAGCAGCCGCGGUAAUACGGAGGAUGCGAGCGUUAUCCGGAUUUAUUGGGUUUAAAGGGUGCGUAGGUGGCUUUUUAAGUCAGCGGUGAAAACUGGCGGCUCAACCGCAAGAGUGCCGUUGAAACGGGGGAGCUAGAGUAUGAACGAGGUAGGCGGAAUGUGUGGUGUAGCGGUGAAAUGCAUAGAUAUCACGCAGAACUCCGAUAGCGAAGGCAGCUUACCAGGCCAUAACAGACACUGAAGCACGAAAGCGUGGGGAUCGAACAGGAUUAGAUACCCGGGUAGUCC